This 272-nucleotide unclassified non-coding RNA is filed under the name plant metagenome. RNAcentral's name for it is "partial contains small subunit ribosomal RNA, internal transcribed spacer 1, and 5.8S ribosomal RNA". The record is from RNAcentral.
UUUCCGUAGGUGAACCUGCGGAAGGAUCAUUAAUGAGUUGUCAUGGGGUUCGAUGCUGGCAGCCAGUUUUUGGAUGCAUGUGCUUGCCCUAACAAUCAUCUUCUUCCAAACACCUGUGCACAUUUUUGAGGGAGUCUUGAGUUGGUUGCCGCUCUUGGGUGAUUUUCUCACAUUCCCUUAAAUCAUUAUACGCUAUUAACAAUGUUGAACGUGCUCUGUGCCGCAAGGCCAUUAAAAUAAUACAACUUUUAACAACGGAUCUCUUGGCUCUC